RNAcentral lists this ribosomal RNA (523 nucleotides) under uncultured bacterium. RNAcentral's name for it is "bacterial SSU rRNA". It matches the Rfam family "Bacterial small subunit ribosomal RNA", at positions 355 to 896 of the family's 1533-position model. The record is from RNAcentral.
UGGGGAAUAUUGGACAAUGGACCAAAAGUCUGAUCCAGCAAUUCUGUGUGCACGAUGACGUUUUUCGGAAUGUAAAGUGCUUUCAGUUGGGAAGAAAAAAAUGACGGUACCAACAGAAGAAGUGACGGCUAAAUACGUGCCAGCAGCCGCGGUAAUACGUAUGUCACAAGCGUUAUCCGGAUUUAUUGGGCGUAAAGCGCGUCUAGGUGGUUAUGUAAGUCUGAUGUGAAAAUGCAGGGCUCAACUCUGUAUUGCGUUGGAAACUGCAUGACUAGAGUACUGGAGAGGUAAGCGGAACUACAAGUGUAGAGGUGAAAUUCGUAGAUAUUUGUAGGAAUGCCGAUGGGGAAGCCAGCUUACUGGACAGAUACUGACGCUAAAGCGCGAAAGCGUGGGUAGCAAACAGGAUUAGAUACCCUGGUAGUCCACGCCGUANCGAUGAUUACUAGGUGUUGGGGGUCGAACCUCAGCGCCCAAGCUAACGCGAUAAGUAAUCCGCCUGGGGAGUACGUACGCAAGUAUG